GACGAACGCUGGCGGCGUGCCUAAUACAUGCAAGUAGAACGCACAGUUUAUACCGUAGCUUGCUACACCAUAGACUGUGAGUUGCGAACGGGUGAGUAACGCGUAGGUAACCUGCCUGGUAGCGGGGGAUAACUAUUGGAAACGAUAGCUAAUACCGCAUAAUAUUAAUUAUUGCAUGAUACUUAAUUGAAAGGUGCAAUUGCACCACUACCAGAUGGACCUGCGUUGUAUUAGCUAGUAGGUGAGGUAACGGCUCACCUAGGCGACGAUACAUAGCCGACGUGGGAGGGUGAUCGACCACACUGGGAAUGGGACACGGCCCAGACUCCUACGGGAGGCAGCAGUAGGGAAUCUUCGGCAAUGGACGAAAGUCUGACCGAGCAACGCCGGGUGAGUGAAGAAGGUUUUCGGAUCGUAAAGCUCUGUUGUAAGAGAAGAACGGGUGUGAGAGUGGAAAGUUCACGCUGUGACGGUAUCUUACCAGAAAGGGACGGCUAACUACGUG
This 505-nucleotide ribosomal RNA is filed under the name uncultured bacterium. RNAcentral describes it as "partial 16S ribosomal RNA". It matches the Rfam family "Bacterial small subunit ribosomal RNA", at positions 28 to 507 of the family's 1533-position model. The record is from RNAcentral.